CCUACGGGGGGCAGCAGUGAGGAAUAUUGGUCAAUGGCCGGAAGGCUGAACCAGCCAUGCCGCGUGAAGGUCAGUGCCCUAUGGGCGUUAAACUUCUUUUGUGCGGGAGCAAUAAUGGUCACGUGUGGCCAGACGAGAGUACCGUACGAAUAAGCAUCGGCUAACUCCGUGCCAGCAGCCGCGGUAAUACGGGGGAUGCAAGCGUUUUACGGGUUUUUUGGGGUUAAAGGGUGCGUAGGGUGUGAGGUAAGUCAGCGGUGAAAUGCCGCCGGUCAACGGGGUGAAGUGCCAUUGAUACUGCCUUGCUGGAAUGCGGAUGCCGUGGGAGGAAUGUGUGGUGUAGCGGUGAAAUGCAUAGAUAUCACACAGAACACCGAUUGCGAAGGCAUCUCACGAAUCCGCGAUUGACGCUGAUGCACGAAAGCGUGGGUAUCAAACAGGAUUAGAUACCCUUGUAGUC
Molecule: ribosomal RNA, 460 nt
Filed under: uncultured bacterium
Lineage: Bacteria
Description: partial 16S ribosomal RNA
Rfam family: Bacterial small subunit ribosomal RNA
Source: RNAcentral